This 666-nucleotide ribosomal RNA is filed under the name Triticum aestivum (bread wheat). Its description in RNAcentral is "partial small subunit ribosomal RNA". The record is from RNAcentral. Lineage: Eukaryota; Viridiplantae; Streptophyta; Magnoliopsida; Poales; Poaceae.
AUGGCCUCCCUCACAAGUCCAUGGCUAGUGCUUCUCGUGGGCAUGGGCUGCACGUUCCUCGCGGCAGCCAGCGGCGGUAGCCGGAACCCCACCGCCGGCUUCGAGAAGGUGGAGCUCACCGAUGGCGACUUCCAGGUGCAGAGCCCGUCCAACGUGCCGGAGAGCCAGCGGUUCCAGUACCGCAACGGGGUGCGGACGUUCUGGGUGCACCGAAACGACAAGCCCAUCAACACCGCCACCCACACCAACCCUCGCUCCGAAGUGAAGCUCCGGGGCCACGACUACUCGUCGGGGGUGUGGCAGUUCGAGGGCUACGGCUACGUGCCGUCGGGGACCUCCGGCGCAUCGGUGAUGCAGAUCCACAACCAGGAGGGCGCCGCGCACUCGACGAUACUGAUGUUGCACGUCUACAAUGGUGUCCUGCGCUUCUACAGCGGGACGGUGGUCGAACCCGACAUCUACAACCGGUGGUUCCGCCUAAACGUGGUGCACGACGUCCGGGCAUCGACGGUGGCCGUGUACAUCGACGGCAAGCACAAGUUCGGCACCAGCGUGACCCCCAGCGAGUCCUACUACUUCAAGUUUGGGGUGUACAUGCAGCACCACGACCAGUCCAGCUGCAUGGAGUCGCGUUGGACCAACGUCACGCUCUACACUAAGCACUGA